Molecule: ribosomal RNA, 468 nt
Filed under: uncultured bacterium
Lineage: Bacteria
Description: partial 16S ribosomal RNA
Rfam family: Bacterial small subunit ribosomal RNA
Source: RNAcentral
GACGAACGCUGGCGGCGUGCUUAACACAUGCAAGUCGAACGGAAAGGCCCUGCUUUUGUGGGGUGCUCGAGUGGCGAACGGGUGGGUAACACGUGAGUAACCUGCCCUUGACUUUGGGAUAACUUCAGGAAACUGGGGCUAAUACCGGAUAGGAGCUCCUGCUGCAUGGUGGGGGUUGGAAAGUUUCGGCGGUUGGGGAUGGACUCGCGGCUUAUCAGCUUGUUGGUGGGGUAGUGGCUUACCAAGGCUUUGACGGGUAGCCGGCCUGAGAGGGUGACCGGCCACAUUGGGACUGAGAGACGGCCCAGACGGGUACGGGAGGCAGCAGUGGGGAAUAUUGCACAAUGGGCGGAAGCCUGAUGCAGAAACGCCGCGUGCGGGAUGACGGCCUUCGGGUUGUAAACCGCUUUCGCCUGUGACGAAGCGUGAGUGACGGUAAUGGGUAAAGAAGCACCGGCUAACUACGUG